RNAcentral lists this small RNA (136 nucleotides) under Clostridium acetobutylicum. RNAcentral's name for it is "c-di-AMP sequence". It matches the Rfam family "c-di-AMP riboswitch aptamer (ydaO/yuaA leader)". Rfam says of the family: This family represents a conserved RNA structure found upstream of the ydaO and yuaA genes in Bacillus subtilis and related genes in other bacteria. The ydaO/yuaA element is thought to act as a genetic "off" switch for the ydaO and yuaA genes in its native state. RNAcentral also lists the same sequence under 1 other name. The record is from RNAcentral. Lineage: Bacteria; Bacillati; Bacillota; Clostridia; Eubacteriales; Clostridiaceae.
UCCUUAAGAGUGCCGAAUCUUAAUAAUAUUUAAGUACGGGGGAACACAUUGUGGGUGAAUCUUACGACUAUUCGUAAGUAGGGUGCCUUCAACCCGAAUCCGUAAGCUAACCUCGGAGGCAAAAUUGAUAAAGGAA